This 492-nucleotide ribosomal RNA is filed under the name uncultured bacterium. Its description in RNAcentral is "partial 16S ribosomal RNA". It matches the Rfam family "Bacterial small subunit ribosomal RNA", at positions 29 to 507 of the family's 1533-position model. The record is from RNAcentral.
AGUGAACGCUGGCGGUAGGCCUAACACAUGCAAGUCGAACGGCAGCACAGUAAGAGCUUGCUCUUACGGGUGGCGAGUGGCGGACGGGUGAGGAAUACAUCGGAAUCUACUUUUUCGUGGGGGAUAACGUAGGGAGACUUACGCUAAUACCGCAUACGACCUACGGGUGAAAGCAGGGGAUCUUCGGACCUUGCGCGAUUGAAUGAGCCGAUGUCGGAUUAGCUAGUUGGCGGGGUAAAGGCCCACCAAGGCGACGAUCCGUAGCUGGUCUGAGAGGAUGAUCAGCCACACUGGAACUGAGACACGGUACAGACUCCGACGGGAGGAAGCAGUGGGGAAUAUUGGACAAUGGGCGCAAGCCUGAUCCAGCCAUACCGCGUGGGUGAAGAAGGCCUUCGGGUUGUAAAGCCCUUUUGUUGGGAAAGAAAAGCAGCAGGUUAAUACCCCGCUGUUCUGACGGUACCCAAAGAAUAAGCACCGGCUAACUUCGUG